Molecule: long non-coding RNA, 2903 nt
Organism: Passer domesticus (house sparrow)
Lineage: Eukaryota; Metazoa; Chordata; Aves; Passeriformes; Passeridae
Exons: 2
Source: RefSeq, a predicted model, not a curated record
AGGAGGGAAACCUGGGCAAUCAAUCCAUCUCCAGGCACCGGGAGAGGCCCAGGAACCUCCCUGGGAUGCUCUCAGGCCCUGCUGCUCCAGUCGCCAUCGCCACGGCAACGGUCGCCAUGGCAACGCCUCCUCCAUGGCGACGCAUCCCGCUGGAGCCAUGGGUGGUGUCCUGCAGCCCAAACCCAGGGAUGGAGGCUCCUUCCCGGAUCCCCAUCUCUUGGUGCCAUGUCCAGGUUCUUGUCUCUGCAUCCCAUUCCUUCCCAUCCUGCUUCCAAAAUGAACAAUGAAACCAAAAACCACAAAUCUCUACGCUUGUUUGGAUUCCAGCCCCAGAGAAACUCUGGGAACUGCAAACCUGGAGAAGCUCUGGGAAUCCCAAAUCCUGAGACAGCUCUGGGAGUCCCAAAUUCAGAGACAGCUCUGGGAGUCCCAAAUCUGGAGAAGCUCUGGGAAUCCCAAACCUGAAGAAACUCUGGGAAUCCCAAGCCUGGAGAAGCUCUGGGAAGCCCAAAUCCCAUUCCAACAGCUCUGAGUGCCAAGGAAGCACCAGGACAAGACAAGGUAGAAGGAGAGUGGUCCUGCCAGGAUGGAGCCAAUGGAUCAGCAGCACCCCAGGCUGUUCUUCCCAGGGAAAUGGCAGGUCUGGGGAUGUUGGAAAGCUUGGAAUGACACAGCCAGGGGCAGGAAUCCAUCAGGAGCAGAAAGAUUCUUUCUCCAGGAACACACUUCUACACUGAGAAUAUAUCACGGGGAAAAUGUUGAUUCUUUGAAUAUUUUCUAUGGGAUAUUUUCAAUUAAUCACCCCUCAAAAGUCCUUUUCUGGUGUUUUAUACUGAAAACCUCAAUAACUCAUCCCAGCAAGUGAUUUAGGGAUACUAUAAACAGCUGGAAUAAUACGAGCUCCAUGAAAGGCUGGAAUGAAAACAUCAUUUCUGAAGUUUAAAAAACUCCAUGAUUCUUUCUUCUUGCUGAAUUUCCACUCCCUGAUCCAAGACUGAGAGCUAAAAAUAAACCUGUUGGAAAGCUGCUCUGGGCAGGAACCUGGGAGAAGACCACCAUGGGGUUGAGGACCACCAUGGGAUUGGGGACCACCAGAGCUGCUCGGGAUGGCGAUCCCAAGGCAGAGCGCAGGAGGAUGGGCUGGAAUUUGGGAUGCUGGAUGCUGGAAAAAGGGUGUGGGUGCUCAUCCCAGUGAAGAUCCCACUCCCAAGAUGUGACAUGAGCUCAGCCAGCACCAGCCCCUUGUUUUGUGUCCCUUCAUUGUUCCUCAGAUUAAUUAAAACCCUAAUUAAGAGCUGCCCAAAGCCCAGUGAGUUUGGAUUUAAUUGGCCACUCAUUUUCUGCAAGAAAAAUAAUAAUUAGUGUUGCUGGAGGAGCUGCAAUUAUCCUGGAUUUGUAUGGAUUCUUCACUGCCAAUGAGAGGAGCCAGGCACAUCCCAAAAAUGGACACAGAUGCUCCCAAGUUCCAUCAUCCUUCAGGGAAUACCAGCUCCAUCCUAUCCUGCCCCAUUCCAUCCAUUCCUGCCCUGUUCCAUCCAUCCCUGCCCUGUUCCAUACAUUCCUGCCCUGUUCCAUCCAUUCCAUUCCCUGUUCCAUCCAUUCCAUUCCCUGUUCUAUCCAUUCCAUUCCCUGUUCCAUCCAUCCAAUUCCCUGUUCCAUCCACUCCUGCCCCUGUUCCAUCCAUUCCAUUCCCUCUUCCAUCCAUUCCAUUCCCUGUUCCAUCCAUCCUGCCCCCUGUUCCAUCCAUUCCUGCCCCAUUCCAUCUAUUCCUGUCCCUGUUCCCUCCAUUCCUUCCUUCCCGUCUCUCCCAGCCUCCAUCCCAGCUGGAAUUCCCCUCCUCCUCAUUAGGGAAUUGUUUUAAUUUACUCUGCUCCAUAAUCCUAUUGCAGCUUAACGUGCACAACUGUCCCGGGCUUUUCUCACCUCCACCAAGGCUCAUUCCAGAGCUCCCUCAGCUUCCCAAACAGCUCCAAAAUAGGAAUUUCUUUAUGUCUAUCCUUUUCUUUCCUUCCCGGAGUGCUUGGCACAGGGAUGGGCACUGCCUGUUAAACCCUGAUGGCUCCAGGGUGGUUCUGGUGGGCAUCUGGGGAUUCCCACAUUCCCUGUUUUCUUUCCAGCUCCUCCAGGAGCCGAGGGGAUCUGCUCCUGUGCUCCCUACCCAAGAAGACAGAGUUUAGACAAGAAAAAUGGGUUUUGAUGGGUUUUUUAAUUGAAUUUUUUGAAAUUCAGAGCUCCAAGGGAAUGUGCCCGGGGGUAUAAAGAAAUCCCUGCACGCCUCAGUUUACCUGCCUGCAAAAGAACUGCAAAUAAUCCGGGAACAGAGAGUGGCUCCUCUCCCAUUCCGGGGAUGCUGGGGACGCUUUUUAAUAGGGAUAUCCAUGUCCCAUCCACGUUUCCCUGUUUUGUCUUUCCCCCAGAUAUUCCUGGGAGUGGAUAGGCACCUACUUCCUUUUUUUUUUCAAUUUUUUUUUUCCUACAAUUUCCUGUUAUUUUUAAUGUUUAUUUUUCAUUUUCCAUCCCAGAAAAAUGAAAAAUCUUCAAUUUUCAAUUCCAGGCUCCAGAACCUUUUGGCUCUUCCUGGCAAAGAGACAGAGGAUAAAAGUUCAUUCCCAGCUCUCCUGAGUGGGAAGAAAACCUCAGAAGUUUGCACCUGAAAGCCUCAAUACCAGAAACCAAAAAACCCCAAAAUUGCAGAGCUUUUCAGCCACACCUGACGAGCUCCAUGAGAAGAUCUGCACACUCAGAAAAAAAAAUAUUUUCCCAUAAAAAGGAAUCUGAGGAGGAUGAGCUGUGGAGAAGAACUUAGUGGGGGGCAGCCUCCUGUCUCCUAAUUAAUCCCAAAAUUAUCCCUGAGAGGAUUUUGGUGACCUGAAUAAAUUAUUCCCGUUUUCAGGACAAUUUAA